This 424-nucleotide ribosomal RNA is filed under the name Phlyctema vagabunda. RNAcentral's name for it is "eukaryotic LSU rRNA". The stretch from base 115 to 268 matches the Rfam family "5.8S ribosomal RNA". The record is from RNAcentral. Lineage: Eukaryota; Fungi; Ascomycota; Leotiomycetes; Helotiales; Dermateaceae.
CACCUUUGUUGCUUUGGCGGGCCCGCCUCGGCCACCGGCUCCGGCUGGUGAGCGCCCGCCAGAGGACCCCAAACUCUGAAAUUUAGUGUCGUCUGAGUACUAUAUAAUAGUUAAAACUUUCAACAACGGAUCUCUUGGUUCUGGCAUCGAUGAAGAACGCAGCGAAAUGCGAUAAGUAAUGUGAAUUGCAGAAUUCAGUGAAUCAUCGAAUCUUUGAACGCACAUUGCGCCCCUUGGUAUUCCGGGGGGCAUGCCUGUUCGAGCGUCAUUACAACCCUCAAGCUCUGCUUGGUAUUGGGCGUCCCCGGCGACGGGGUGCCCUAAAAUCAGUGGCGGUGCCGUCUGGCUCUAAGCGUAGUAAAUCUCUCGCUCUGGAUGCCCGGUGGAUGCUCGCCAGAACCCCCCACUUUUUACAGGUUGACCU